RNAcentral lists this ribosomal RNA (426 nucleotides) under Arthrobacter sp. TWB. RNAcentral describes it as "bacterial SSU rRNA". It matches the Rfam family "Bacterial small subunit ribosomal RNA", at positions 12 to 440 of the family's 1533-position model. The record is from RNAcentral. Lineage: Bacteria; Bacillati; Actinomycetota; Actinomycetes; Micrococcales; Micrococcaceae.
UUUGAUCCUGGCUCAGGAUGAACGCUGGCGGCGUGCUUAACACAUGCAAGUCGAACGAUGAUCCCAGCUUGCUGGGGGAUUAGUGGCGAACGGGUGAGUAACACGUGAGUAACCUGCCCUUGACUCUGGGAUAAGCCUGGGAAACUGGGUCUAAUACCGGAUAUGACUCCUCAUCGCAUGGUGGGGGGUGGAAAGCUUUUGUGGUUUUGGAUGGACUCGCGGCCUAUCAGCUUGUUGGUGGGGUAAUGGCCUACCAAGGCGACGACGGGUAGCCGGCCUGAGAGGGUGACCGGCCACACUGGGACUGAGACACGGCCCAGACUCCUACGGGAGGCAGCAGUGGGGAAUAUUGCACAAUGGGCGCAAGCCUGAUGCAGCGACGCCGCGUGAGGGAUGACGGCCUUCGGGUUGUAAACCUCUUUCAGU